Molecule: ribosomal RNA, 435 nt
Filed under: Wolbachia endosymbiont of Aedes albopictus
Lineage: Bacteria; Pseudomonadati; Pseudomonadota; Alphaproteobacteria; Rickettsiales; Anaplasmataceae
Description: bacterial SSU rRNA
Rfam family: Bacterial small subunit ribosomal RNA
Source: RNAcentral
GUAUAGGAUCUACCUAGUAGUACGGAAUAAUUGUUGGAAACGGCAACUAAUACCGUAUACGCCCUACGGGGGAAAAAUUUAUUGCUAUUAGAUGAGCCUAUAUUAGAUUAGCUAGUUGGUGGAGUAAUAGCCUACCAAGGCAAUGAUCUAUAGCUGAUCUGAGAGGAUGAUCAGCCACACUGGAACUGAGAUACGGUCCAGACUCCUACGGGAGGCAGCAGUGGGGAAUAUUGGACAAUGGGCGAAAGCCUGAUCCAGCCAUGCCGCAUGAGUGAAGAAGGCCUUUGGGUUGUAAAGCUCUUUUAGUGAGGAAGAUAAUGACGGUACUCACAGAANAAGUCCUGGCUAACUCCGUGCCAGCAGCCGCGGUAAUACGGAGAGGGCUAGCGUUAUUCGGAAUUAUUGGGCGUAAAGGGCGCGUAGGCUGGUUAAUAA